CCCUUCGGGGUGUGACUGCGUACCUUUUGUAUAAUGGGUCAGCGACUUAUAUUCUGUAGCAAGGUUAACCGUAUAGGGGAGCCGCAGGGAAACCGAGUCUUAACCGGGCGUUAAGUUGCAGGGUAUAGACCCGAAACCCGGUGAUCUAGCCAUGGGCAGGUUGAAGGUUGGGUAACACUAACUGGAGGACCGAACCGACUAAUGUUGAAAAAUUAGCGGAUGACCUGUGGCUGGGGGUGAAAGGCCAAUCAAACCGGGAGAUAGCUGGUUCUCCCCGAAAGCUAUUUAGGUAGCGCCUCGUGAAUUCAUCUCCGGGGGUAGAGCACUGUUUCGGCUAGGGGGCCAUCCCGGCUUACCAACCCGAUGCAAACUGCGAAUACCGGAGAAUGUUAUCACGGGAGACACACGGCGGGUGCUAACGUCCGUCGUGAAGAGGGAAACAACCCAGACCGCCAGCUAAGGUCCCAAAGUCAUGGUUAAGUGGGAAACGAUGUGGGAAGGCCCAGACAGCCAGGAUGUUGGCUUAGAAGCAGCCAUCAUUUAAAGAAAGCGUAAUAGCUCACUGGUCGAGUCGGCCUGCGCGGAAGAUGUAACGGGGCUAAACCAUGCACCGAAGCUGCGGCAGCGACGCUGAUGCGUUGUUGGGUAGGGGAGCGUUCUGUAAGCCUGCGAAGGUGGCCUGUGAGGGUUGCUGGAGGUAUCAGAAGUGCGAAUGCUGACAUAAGUAACGAUAAAGCGGGUGAAAAGCCCGCUCGCCGGAAGACCAAGGGUUCCUGUCCAACGUUAAUCGGGGCAGGGUGAGUCGACCCCUAAGGCGAGGCCGAAAGGCGUAGUCGAUGGGAAACGGGUUAAUAUUCCCGUACUUGGUGUUACUGCGAAGGGGGGACGGAGAAGGCUAUGUUGGCCGGGCGACGGUUGUCCCGGUUUAAGCGUGUAGGUGUGUGUUCCAGGUAAAUCCGGUUCACUUUAACACUGAGGCGUGACGACGAGGCACUACGGUGCUGAAGCAACAAAUGCCCUGCUUCCAGGAAAAGCCUCUAAGCAUCAGGUAACAUCAAAUCGUACCCCAAACCGACACAGGUGGUCAGGUAGAGAAUACCAAGGCGCUUGAGAGAACUCGGGUGAAGGAACUAGGCAAAAUGGUGCCGUAACUUCGGGAGAAGGCACGCUGACAC
Molecule: ribosomal RNA, 1175 nt
Filed under: Salmonella enterica subsp. enterica serovar Ibadan
Lineage: Bacteria; Pseudomonadati; Pseudomonadota; Gammaproteobacteria; Enterobacterales; Enterobacteriaceae
Description: partial 23S ribosomal RNA
Rfam family: Bacterial large subunit ribosomal RNA
Source: RNAcentral